This 928-nucleotide long non-coding RNA is filed under the name Jatropha curcas. RNAcentral describes it as "long non-coding RNA (JCUR_LNC000753)". The record is from RNAcentral. Lineage: Eukaryota; Viridiplantae; Streptophyta; Magnoliopsida; Malpighiales; Euphorbiaceae.
AAUAAGAUAACUAUAACUUAGAUAAGUAGCUUGUUUUUCAUUGAUAUAAACUUGUGCAUAUAAUGCAAACUUCGUACAAAUGCAUUAGCAAAGCCUAAUAGAUUUUGCAACUCCUAACCUUCGAUACAUAUAGACAAAUGCAUUCCAAAGAAGCUGUAACGGUAAUACAGUUAUAAUCUACACAACUGCAUAACUUUAAGAAUCUAGUAAAGAGAUAUGGCUAUGGAACUAUAAACCCAUCAAAUAAACAACACAGAUGUUGCUUAAACACGGGUGCUGGUGGGUUGACCACUUCCAGUUCCCUGUCGCUUCCCCUUCAGAUAUAGAAACCUUAUCACGUGGAAGACUAUAGUAACCAAUAUCUUGAGCAACCAAAACAGAAGUCGACGGGCACAAAGUAAAAUAAUAAUUGCUAGUAAUCCAAACCAAAACACUAUAUAGUACAAAAGAAUCUCACUGUUAAACCUUUCUUGCUUUGACCCUCCUCCAACUAAUAUGAUUGAGAGCAUGUAAGUGGCAGCCAUGAAAAUUACUGUGAUGCUUAUGGUUAUAAGCAUAAUCCACAUAGAAAACCUAUUUUUGAGAGGAAGAACAGUAAGCAGAAAGAUUAUGCUCAGAGAUGCUGAGAAUGCGAUGGUGUUGCAGAUAAUAAAUUCUUGGCUGUUAAACUUUUGGAUGCAGGUUAUUGCUAAUUUUCUUAUUUCGAUUACCCCUUUAUUUGUGAUUGUAUCCCUUAUCAUUCCAGCUGUGCAUACUUUUUCUUGGGAAUCAUUUUUCCAGAGUUCACUUGGUGGGUUGACUGCAGCUUGGAAAGCCAUGGAUGCAAUAACAGUAGCCACUAUCAUUAAAUGGCCUCGUGUCUUCUCCAACUGGCUACUUUGGUAAUCUAGGUAUUUAUCCCACUUACUAACAGAAACUUUUGCUGGAG